This 831-nucleotide unclassified non-coding RNA is filed under the name Hevea brasiliensis (rubber tree). The record is from RNAcentral. Lineage: Eukaryota; Viridiplantae; Streptophyta; Magnoliopsida; Malpighiales; Euphorbiaceae.
AACUGAACUCACAACCUUUAAGCACAAAUUAAACAGCACACUGAAAUGACUACACAAAAAGAAUGAAUAACAACCUAUUCAGCAAUGUCUGAUGUAAAUUACACUUCCAAGACUUUGAAUUGCCAAAAAGAAAAGGUACAAAAAUUGAAAGAGGCCAACUAUAAGGACUGGGCUCUCAUUUGAAAGUGGAGAGCCUUGGGAGCUUAUCGCGCAAAUAGUACAAUCUUGCACGCCUGACUUUUCGGUGCUUAACUACUUUGAGCUCCUUGAUAUUUGGUGAAUACACUGGGAACACUAUUUCAACUCCAACGCCAGCAAUAAUCCUCCGAAUGCGAAUUGUCGUGUGGAUACCAGCAUUUUGUUUUGAAAUGACUAUACCUUUGUAAAUAGACAAUCUCUUCCUAUUUUCUGGGACUUCCAAUUUGAUCUCAACAACAUCACCAGUCCUAAUGUCUGGUGUAGGCCUCACAGUAUCCGAUGCCUCGAUUGCUUGCUUGUUCAAUAUCCCCAUUAUAUCUCCAAGCUUAGCUCUCGGCUUAAAUGGUGGUCUUUCCUCUGUUGCAACUGCAGCAUCAGCUUCAGCUUCAACCUCUGCCUCAGCAGCUUCCGGUUCCUCUUGAGAUUCAGCUUCAGCUCUAACAAUAAAAGAACGAUUUUCCCACUUUGAACUUAACAACCCAGAAGCAGAAAACAAGGGAACAUUAAACUGAGAAGGUCUUCGAGAGACGCAGGCAGAAAAUGCCAGCUUCUGUGGAGCAGUACAUCUUGUGGGGUUUCUCGGAACCACAAAUAAAGCCUGAGGCAGAACAACAGAACCCAUUUUGGGUAUGA